Molecule: long non-coding RNA, 327 nt
Filed under: Olea europaea (common olive)
Lineage: Eukaryota; Viridiplantae; Streptophyta; Magnoliopsida; Lamiales; Oleaceae
Description: long non-coding RNA (OEUR_LNC006845)
Source: RNAcentral
AUUAGAUUAAAUAUCGAUACUGGCAGCCCAAAUAAUAAAAUUACGGGAAAUAUAUGCAUGCGCAUACACACAUAUAUAUAAUCACCUAGAUUUCUCAAUGCUCGUAAAUCUGCUGGACCCUUCUCACCUUUUCGUUAAGAAUGUGGAUAGAUCUGUAUGGUAAAGACGUAUGCAAAUCUGGGCAGGAAUCUGGAUCGUUUUAAUUUUGUCUCUUUCAUUUUGUUAGAGGACUGGGAUGGUCUAUUAAUCCUCCCGGAUCCUCUGAGGGAGUGUCCAGCUCCAGAUUUGGCGGAAGCUAUGGCCAAUCACAUUUCCACGUGAUACUGG